CGCUGGCGGCAGGCCUAACACAUGCAAGUCGAGCGGUAGCACAAGAGAGCUUGCUCUCUGGGUGACGAGCGGCGGACGGGUGAGUAAUGUCUGGGAAACUGCCUGAUGGAGGGGGAUAACUACUGGAAACGGUAGCUAAUACCGCAUGACGUCUUCGGACCAAAGUGGGGGACCUUCGGGCCUCACGCCAUCAGAUGUGCCCAGAUGGGAUUAGCUAGUAGGUGGGGUAAUGGCUCACCUAGGCGACUGAUCUCUAGCUGGUCUGAGAGGAUGACCAGCCACACUGGAACUGAGACACGGUCCAGACUCCUACGGGAGGCAGCAGUGGGGAAUAUUGCACAAUGGGCGCAAGCCUGAUGCAGCCAUGCCGCGUGUAUGAAGAAGGCCUUCGGGUUGUAAAGUACUUUCAGCGAGGAGGAAGGCAUUGUGGUUAAUAACCGCAGUGAUUGACGUUACUCGCAGAAGAAGCACCGGCUAACUCCGUGCCAGCAGCCG
This 495-nucleotide ribosomal RNA is filed under the name Enterobacteriaceae bacterium B61. Its description in RNAcentral is "bacterial SSU rRNA". It matches the Rfam family "Bacterial small subunit ribosomal RNA", at positions 34 to 517 of the family's 1533-position model. The record is from RNAcentral. Lineage: Bacteria; Pseudomonadati; Pseudomonadota; Gammaproteobacteria; Enterobacterales; Enterobacteriaceae.